AUCGAACGCUAGCGGGAUGCUUUACACAUGCAAGUCGAACGAGGGGCGGACGGGUGAGUAAUAUAUCGGAACGUGCCCAGUAGCCGGGGAUAACUACUCGAAAGAGUGGCUAAUACUGCUUACUAUUGGUGCGGCUGAUAUCGGAUUAGCUAGUUGGUGGGGUAAAGGCUCACCAAGGCAACGAUCCGUAGCUGGUGUGAGAGGACGACCGGCCACACUGGGACUGAGACACGGCCCAGACUCCUACGGGAGGCAGCAGUGGGGAAUUUUGGACAAUGGGGGAAAGCCUGAUCCAGCCAUCCCGCGUGUAUGAGAAGGCCUUCGGGUUGUAAAGUACUUUUGGCAGAGAAGCGGUAUCUGCAGAAUAAGCACCGGCUAACUACGUGCCAGCAGCCGCGGUAAUAC
Molecule: ribosomal RNA, 405 nt
Filed under: uncultured bacterium
Lineage: Bacteria
Description: partial 16S ribosomal RNA
Rfam family: Bacterial small subunit ribosomal RNA
Source: RNAcentral